CUCAGGAUAAACGCUGGCGGCGCACAUAAGACAUGCAAGUCGAACGGAAGUCGUUAUAAAAAGGAUUGAAGAUUUAUCUGAUUGAGAUUUUAUAACAAUGGCUUUAGUGGCGGACUGGUGAGUAACGCGUGAGCAACCUGCCUACUAGAGGGGAAUAACAGUGAGAAAUCAUUGCUAAUACCGCAUAUGCCAUGAACAUCACAUGAUGAAAAUGGGAAAAGAGUAAUCUGCUAGUAGAUGGGCUCGCGUCUGAUUAGAUAGUUGGUGGGGUAACGGCCUACCAAGUCAACGAUCAGUAGCCGGACUGAGAGGUUGAACGGCCACAUUGGGACUGAGAUACGGCCCAGACUCCUACGGGAGGCAGCAGUCGGGAAUAUUGCGCAAUGGAGGAAACUCUGACGCAGUGACGCCGCGUAUAGGAAGAAGGUUUUCGGAUUGUAAACUAUUGUCGUUAGGGAAGAUACAAGACAGUACCUAAGGAGGAAGCUCCGGCUAACUACGUGCCAGCAGCCGCGGUAAUACGUAGGGAGCAAGCGUUAUCCGGAUUUAUUGGGUGUAAAGGGUGCGUAGACGGGAUAACAAGUUAGUUGUGAAAGCCCUCGGGCUUAACUGAGGAACUGCAACUAAAACUAUUAUUCUUGAGUGUUGGAGGAGGAAAGUGGAAUUCCUAGUGUAGCGGUGAAAUGCGUAGAUAUUAGGAGGAACACCCGGUGGCGAAGGCGACUUUCUGGACAAUAACUGACGUUGAGGCACGAAAGUGUGGGGAGCAAACAGGAUUAGAUACCCUGGUAGUCCACACCGUAAACGAUGGAUACUAGGUGUAGGAAAUGAUUUCAUUUUCUGUGCCGUCGCAAACGCAAUAAGUAUCCCACCUGGGGAGUACGGCCGCAAGGUUGAAACUCAAAGGAAUUGACGGGGGCCCGCACAAGCAGUGGAGUAUGUGGUUUAAUUCGAUGCAACGCGAAGAACCUUACCAGGGCUUGACAUAUAGAUGAAUAACUAAGAGAUUAGUUAGUCCUUCGGGACAUCUAUACAGGUGGUGCAUGGUUGUCGUCAGCUCGUGUCGUGAGAUGUUAGGUUAAGUCCUGCAACGAGCGCAACCCCUGUGAUUAGUUGCCAACAGGUAAAGCUGGGAACUCUAAUCAGACUGCCGGUGAUAAAUCGGAGGAAGGUGGGGAUGACGUCAAAUCAUCAUGCCCUUUAUGUCCUGGGCUACACACGUACUACAAUGGCUGUAACAGAGAGAAGCAACACCGCGAGGUAGAGCGAAACUCCAAAAGCAGUCUCAGUUCGGAUUGAAGGCUGAAAUUCGCCUUCAUGAAGCCGGAAUUGCUAGUAAUGGCAGGUCAGCAUACUGCCGUGAAUACGUUCCCGGGCCUUGUACACACCGCCCGUCACACCAUGAGAGUUGGGAAUACCCGAAGCCUGUGAGCCAACUGUAAAGAGGCAGCAGUCGAAGGUAGAAUCAAUGAUUGGGGUGAAGUCGUAACAAGGUAACCA
RNAcentral lists this ribosomal RNA (1500 nucleotides) under uncultured Eubacteriales bacterium. RNAcentral describes it as "bacterial SSU rRNA". It matches the Rfam family "Bacterial small subunit ribosomal RNA". Lineage: Bacteria; Bacillati; Bacillota; Clostridia; Eubacteriales. The record is from RNAcentral.